AUGUCCUGCAAAAAAGCUGCUAAAGAAACCUGCUUCUGUGAUCAUUGCUUCCGCUGACAGCACCGGUGCAAUUCCAUUGGUAUCGAAGCUGUCUCCAGGACAAGCCGCUUAUCACUUUUUGGCAGGCUAUCAGGAUGGAAAAUUCUUGCCUGCUUUCAGCAGAGGUCCUUCGCCUCUUGAUCCGCUAGCACUUGCCAUUGCCCUAUUGUCACAUUUAAAGAAUAAUGAGAUCUCGUCCUUCUUGAUCAAUGUUAACAGUGGUGGAAAGCAUAUAACUGGUGAGGAGAUUAUUAGACUUGCUUCAGUCACUUUAUCCGAUAAAGCGCCAGAGGGCAAAACAGGGAUUGUUGAUUCCAAAGUUAGAGAUCUCAAGGGGAAGUACAGGAGUUUUUUAUCUAGUAAGUUUCAGGAGCUGCCUGAAGAGUUCACAUUUUGACUAGUGCUUCUCAUCUCGGCAAGCACAGUCCUAUGAUGUCUAUUUUGUGCUGUAAGCCUUCGAAAACAAAGCUGGUCCCGUAUUUAUGGAUGCUAUCUUGUAACGGCAUCGCCAGUUAGUAGAAUUUUCAUCCGUUUGAUUCUCGUGACAGGCAUCUAUGGCUAUCCUCUUGAUGGUAUCACUAGAGUCUGUGGUUAUUGGCUAAAUUGUACUUAAAUGCCCUAUAAUUUCAUCAAUGCUGUAAUUAAGUGACCGCUAUUUUCAAACCGAGCAAAUAAAUGCCUCGUAGUAUUUAAAUGUUACAGAUAAAUGCCUAAAGCUUCAAAUUAUCA
This is a long non-coding RNA of Asparagus officinalis (garden asparagus), 768 nucleotides long. RefSeq lists it as uncharacterized. The record is from RefSeq and is a predicted model, not a curated record. The transcript is spliced from 5 exons. NCBI's taxonomy places the organism in Eukaryota, Viridiplantae, Streptophyta, Magnoliopsida, Asparagales, Asparagaceae.